This is a long non-coding RNA of Apodemus sylvaticus (European woodmouse), 1406 nucleotides long. RefSeq lists it as uncharacterized. NCBI's taxonomy places the organism in Eukaryota, Metazoa, Chordata, Mammalia, Rodentia, Muridae. The transcript is spliced from 3 exons. The record is from RefSeq and is a predicted model, not a curated record.
ACCUUGAUAAGAAAUGGAUCCUUGUCCUCCAGAUGAAGAAAACAAGGCUCAAUCAGAACUUUCAACUCGGGACUCCUGGCUUCUAUCUUAUUCAAGAGUGUGCUGUGAACCCAUGAGUCUCCCACCGAGUGCUGCGUUUUCUACCUUUGGAUGCCAGGAGUGCUUCACGAGCUUCAAGAGGCCACUGUUCUUUCCUAAUGGGAAUCUUCUGUCCAUGAUUCACGCAUUAAACUCCUAUAAAUGGUUUUAUGUACAUGCUCAAAAUAUGUGGAUCUGCAAGAAGGCUAGGAGUGCUCUGAUGCCUACACCAGGCCAGAGUUUCUGUCAUCUCUGAUGAAACUUCCAAAGCUGAGCUCCACUUGGCACUGGGUCAUCAAUGACAGAUGAUCAACAAAGAAGCCAGUGUCCAGGAGAUGGAGAGAUGGAUGCCAUUGCCCCUACCUUUUACUUUGGUUGGUGACUUAAACACUACAGGAAAUUGUUAUUUCACAUGAUCUACCCAGCUCCAGAGCUGGUUAAUACAGCACCUAAAUGACAUCUCAGAGGUCCUUGUCUGUCUUUAAGGGUUUUGGUUUUUUGUUUGUUUGUUUGGUUGGUUUGGUUUGGUUUGGUUUGGUUUGGUUUGGUUUCUUGAGACAGGGUUUCUCUGUGUAGCCUUGGCUGUACUGGAGCUAGCUUUGUAGAUCAGGCUGGUCUCAAACUCCAAGAUCCACCUGCCUCUGCUUCCCAAGAGCUGGAACUUAAAGGUGUGCAUUACCACUGCCCAGCAGGUUCUUGUAUCCUGUAUUCUGUUGUUCCAGUCAUGGUUAUAGGAAGGUGUCCACAGCUCUGGGCAACCUCUGCUCCCCUUGGAACAGAAAGGGGCCUAUCUUUUCCUUGUGGUUCACCUACAAGCAGAUGGCCAGAUCUGGGCCAUCGAGAACUUAGCUUCAUGGACAUCAGGCAGUCAUCUCGUGACUGUGUUGUGACGACAUAGCUAAGAAGGCCUGAAGUGUUUGAAAGGAAGUUAAGCCAAGAAACAGGACACAUCUGCACACGAAUGUCAAUCUGAGCCCACAAAAGCUUCUGGACUUCUUCCGUGACCCCAAACCUUUCUUUUCAACUUGAUUGCCUGUCACUUGCAUCCCCAGGGACCUGCUCCUGGGAUUCACUUAUCAAAAUAAAAAUUCAUUGACCUUAAGCUCCAAUGUCCAUGUAGAGAUGGGAUGAGAACUUUUUGGAGUUGCUUCUUUCUUUCCUUCCUCCAUGUGGAUUCCAAGGAUCUAACUCAGGUCAGCAGGCUUGGCAGCAAGCAUCUUUACCUGCUGAGCCACCUCCCUGGCCCCAGUGGCUCCUCCUCCUUAGAACUAUUGAGAUUAUGAUUUAAUAAGAAAAAUAAGACACAGUCACAAGAGAAGCAGACUGGA